This is a long non-coding RNA of Ceratitis capitata (Mediterranean fruit fly), 858 nucleotides long. RefSeq lists it as uncharacterized. The transcript is spliced from 3 exons. NCBI's taxonomy places the organism in Eukaryota, Metazoa, Arthropoda, Insecta, Diptera, Tephritidae. The record is from RefSeq and is a predicted model, not a curated record.
UUUAAUAGCAAAUUAUUACAUUUGGAGUAAAAAGAUCAAUUUAAAAAGUUUCCGCAAUUUUUGGGCUUAAUUGUGGUUGAAAUGAUCCAUGUGCAUGGCUAUCUAGGCUUUAGUCAUCCUUACUGCACAUCUUUUUAAUUCAAAAUCGUUUGAAUAUGUUGAACAUACAAUUUGCAUUCGGGUUCCUGCGUUAGCCAUAAGUUCUGGUCGUCAGCAGUUAACGUGGAGUAAGAUUUAAGGAGACCAAAGAUUUCCAAUGACUAUAGAUGCAUACGAUAAAACGAGUUUGUAAAUGAGUACAGUUGCCGAAAUCCUUAGCAAAGGUAUCCACCACCUAGCAAUAGCAACCAGUUUUUUAUGAAAUAUUUCGUAAUUCGAAAAUACCACCACUGAAGCUACGGGACGAAAACCAAGCCAGAUGUACACAAUCUCGUAACUGCGUAACAUAGAUCGAUAAGCAGUGCACAAAUCUGUAUGUUGCUAAAUUUACGAACUUUGAAAUCUACCGCCAGUUUCAUAAAACGAUAUUCAAGUCUUUGCCGGGUAAUACAACGAAUAAUUAUGAAAUGUCUUGUGAUCAGCUGGACAAAUACGGUGGAGCACUCUAACAGAAGGGACCAAAAUUAAUCAAGAUAACGUGAGAUCUCAUACAAGUUUGAUAACUUGCCAAAAGAUUUUUCGGCUUAAAUGGCACCUCCGGACUUUUCCUUAUUUGUUUUUUUUUUUUUUGCGGAUGGGAGUGUCUUCAUCUCACUUGGAACAGUUUUACGCCAGCAAGGAUCAACAAUUUCAUGAAACAAUCUCUUGUCGGAAAACUGGCAAAAUCUAUUCGAUCAAAAUGGGCAAUAAAUUAUUAAA